GACGAACGCUGGCGGCGUGCUUAACACAUGCAAGUCGAACGGAAAGGCCCUGCUUUUGUGGGGUGCUCGAGUGGCGAACGGGUGAGUAACACGUGAGUAACCUGCCCUUGACUUUGGGAUAACUUCAGGAAACUGGGGCUAAUACCGGAUAGGAGCGCCUGCUGCAUGGUGGGGGUUGGAAAGUGUCGGCGGUGGGGGAUGGACUCGCGGCUUAUCAGCUUUUUGGUGGGGGAGUGGCUUACCAAGGCUUUGACGGGUAGCCGGCCUGAGAGGGUGACCGGCCACAUUGGGACUGAGAUACGGCCCAGACUCCUACGGGAGGCAGCAGUGGGGAAUAUUGCACAAUGGGCGGAAGCCUGAUGCAGCAACGCCGCGUGCGGGAUGACGGCCUUCGGGUUGUAAACCGCUUUCGCCUGUGACGAAGCGUGAGUGACGGUAAUGGGUAAAGAAGCACCGGCUAACUACGUG
RNAcentral lists this ribosomal RNA (468 nucleotides) under uncultured bacterium. RNAcentral describes it as "partial 16S ribosomal RNA". It matches the Rfam family "Bacterial small subunit ribosomal RNA", at positions 28 to 507 of the family's 1533-position model. The record is from RNAcentral.